CUACGACCAUAUCACGUUGAAACAUUGGUUCCCAUACGAUCACUGAAGUUAAGUAAUUAACGUGGAAACUGGUCAGUACCUACAUGGGUAACCGCUUGGGAAUACCACGUGUCGUAAG
Acanthosepion pharaonis is the source of this 118-nucleotide non-coding RNA. Lineage: Eukaryota; Metazoa; Mollusca; Cephalopoda; Sepiida; Sepiidae. The record is from the annotation of a GenBank genome assembly.